AGGGACAAACAACUCCCCAAGGAGAGGUGGACCAUGGACCAAGACCCCAGGAGUCUCCCCCUGGCCUUUGCACUAGCUUUUCCUCAUGGGGCAGCAUGGCAUGCACACCUGCAGUGGGCCCUGUUGGAGGCUGCCAUCCCCUCAGCUGCACUCCCUGCAAAGCAACAAACACUGCUUACUGGGAACCCCUGUGUCUGACUGAGGAAAGCUCUUCUGAUCUUAGGAGCACACUCAGCUGGCACCCAGGGAAAGCUGGGAGAGCCAGGGAGUCAAUGCCCCUGAAGCAGCGUGAACCAGUGAUGGAGGAGAGUGAACCCUGACCUCCUUCAAGGAAAAACUCCGCCUCCAUGCAGGCCAUAUGAGAAGUCUGACUUCAUGCCCAGCUCCAGAAUGUUCCAAAGACAUGGCCACAUGCUACAAGCCCAGGAAGAAGGCCACCACAGAGGCCAGCAAAGCCAAGAGCAUCUCAGGAAAAUGGGGCAAGAGCUCCUGGAUUAAGCCAGCACUGAAGCCCGCCCUAUCUCUGGACUUCCAAUCACAUAGCUCAAUAAACGUCUUUCUUCUUUAAG
This 569-nucleotide long non-coding RNA is filed under the name Equus caballus (horse). RNAcentral's name for it is "lncRNA (ENSECAG00000054886.1)". The record is from RNAcentral. Lineage: Eukaryota; Metazoa; Chordata; Mammalia; Perissodactyla; Equidae.